RNAcentral lists this RNase P RNA (314 nucleotides) under bovine gut metagenome. RNAcentral's name for it is "Bacterial RNase P class A". It matches the Rfam family "Bacterial RNase P class A". From Rfam's summary of the family: Ribonuclease P (RNase P) is a ubiquitous endoribonuclease, found in archaea, bacteria and eukarya as well as chloroplasts and mitochondria. The record is from RNAcentral.
AAGGGUGCCUGUGAGGAAAGUCCGAGCUCCACAGGGCAGGAUGCUGGAUAACGUCCAGUAAGGGUGACCUUCAGGAAAGUGCAGCAGAAAGAUACCGCCAGAACCUAUCGUUUUGGUAAGGGUGAAAAGGCGAGGUAAGAGCUCACCGCUUUUCUGGUGACAGAAAAGGCUCUGCAAACCCCAUCCGGAGCAAGACCGAACAGAAAACGACACGGCGGCCCGUCGUGUUUUCGGGUAGGUCGCGUGAGACAGGCGGCAACGUCUGCCCAAGAUAGAUGAUCGUCCACGACAGAACUCGGCUUACAGGGAAACUC